GGUCCCAUCGUCUAGUGGCCUAGGACGCUGCCCUUUCACGGCGGAAACACGAGUUCGAACCUCGUUGGGAUCACCA
Molecule: transfer RNA, 76 nt
Filed under: Alphaproteobacteria bacterium
Lineage: Bacteria; Pseudomonadati; Pseudomonadota; Alphaproteobacteria
Description: tRNA-Glu
Rfam family: tRNA
About the family: Transfer RNA (tRNA) molecules are approximately 80 nucleotides in length. Their secondary structure includes four short double-helical elements and three loops (D, anti-codon, and T loops).
Source: RNAcentral